GUAGUCAUAUGCUUGUCUCAAAGCUUAAGCCAUGCAAGUCUCAGUACGAGCUGCUUUAAAGUGAAACCGCAAAAGGCUCAGUAAACCGGUCAUAGUUUACCGGAUAUAUGCCACUCACGUGGAUAACUGUGGUAAUUCUAGAGCUAAUACAUGCAAACAAGUCCCGACCAGCGAUGGAGAGGACGCUUUUAUUGGAUCAAAACCAUUCGACCGAGCAAUCGGUCGUCGGCUUGGUGACUCUAGAUAACACCACAGAUCGCACGGUCAUAGUACCGGCGACAUAUCCUUCAAAUGUCUGACUUAUCAGCUGUCGAUGGUAGACUCUGUGUCUACCAUGGCGCUCACGGGUGACGGGGAAUCAGGGUUCGAUUCCGGAGAGGGAGCCUGAGAAACGGCUACCACAUCCAAGGAAGGCAGCAGGCACGCAAAUUACCCACUCCCGGCACGGGGAGGUAGUGACAAAAAAUAACGAUACGGGACUCAUCCGAGGCCCCGUAAUCGGAAUGAGAACACCCUAAAUCCUUUAACGAGGAUCUAUUGGAGGGCAAGUCUGGUGCCAGCAGCCGCGGUAAUUCCAGCUCCAAUAGCGUAUAUUAAAGUUGUUGCGGUUAAAAAGCUCGUAGUUGGUUCUGCGUGCCACGCUGUCGGUUCACCGCCUGCCGGUGCAACUGGCAUGUCGUGGCAUGUCCUGUCGGUGGCGGAUAGGCUUCGCGGCGUGCCCCAUGCGGUAUACCAACGUGUGGGUUGCUGCGCUCGCGUCGUCCUUGUACGCCGGCUCAAUCCUACCGCGGUGCUCUUUACCGAGUGUCGAGGUAGGCCGACACUGUUUACUUUGAACAAAUUAGAGUGCUUCAAGCAGGCUCUUAAAUCAGCCUGAAUAGUGGUGCAUGGAAUAAUGGAACAGGACCUUGGUUCUAUUUUGUUGGUUUUAGGAAUCCAAGGUAAUGAUCAAUAAGGACAGGCGGGGGCAUUCGUAUUGCGACGUUAGAGGUGAAAUUCUUGGAUCGUCGCAAGACGCACUAGAGCGAAAGCAUUUGCCAAGUAUGUCUUAAUUGAUCAAGAACGAAAGUUAGAGGUUCGAAGGCGAUCAGAUACCGCCCUAGUUCUAACCAUAAACGAUGCCAGCCAGUGAUCCGCCGGCGUUCCUCCGAU
This 1152-nucleotide ribosomal RNA is filed under the name Hydaropsis longirostris. RNAcentral's name for it is "SSU rRNA". It matches the Rfam family "Eukaryotic small subunit ribosomal RNA", at positions 20 to 1072 of the family's 1831-position model. The record is from RNAcentral. Lineage: Eukaryota; Metazoa; Arthropoda; Insecta; Hemiptera; Coreidae.